AGUGAACGCUGGCGGUAGGCCUAACACAUGCAAGUCGAACGGCAGCACAGUAAGAGCUUGCUCUUACGGGUGGCGAGUGGCGGACGGGUGAGGAAUACAUCGGAAUCUACUUUUUCGUGGGGGAUAACGUAGGGAAACUUACGCUAAUACCGCAUACGACCUACGGGUGAAAGCAGGGGAUCUUCGGACCUUGCGCGAUUGAAUUAGCCGAUGUCGGCGUAGCUAGUUGGCGGGGUAAAGGCCCACCACGGCGGCGCUCGGUAGCGGGUCUGAAAGAGUGAUCAGCCACAUGGGAAGAGAGACAGGGUCGAGACUCCGAGGGGGGGAAGCAGUGGGGAAUAUUGCACAAGGGAGGAAAGGCUGAUCCAGCAAUACCGGGGGGGUCAAGAAGGCGUUCGGGUUGGAAAGCCCUUUUGUUGGGAAGGAAAAGCAGCAGUUUAAUCCCCCGCGGUAAUGACGGUACCGAAAGAAUAAGCACCGGCUAACUUCGUG
Molecule: ribosomal RNA, 492 nt
Filed under: uncultured bacterium
Lineage: Bacteria
Description: partial 16S ribosomal RNA
Rfam family: Bacterial small subunit ribosomal RNA
Source: RNAcentral